GUGGGGAAUUUUGGACAAUGGGGGCAACCCUGAUCCAGCCAUGCCGCGUGCGGGAAGAAGGCCUUCGGGUUGUAAACCGCUUUUGUCAGGGAAGAAAUCCUUUGGGUUAAUACCUCGGAGGGGUGACGGUACCUGAAGAAUAAGCACCGGCUAACUACGUGCCAGCAGCCGCGGUAAUACGUAGGGUGCGAGCGUUAAUCGGAAUUACUGGGCGGAAAGCGUGCGCAGGCGGUUUUGUAAGAUCGAUGUGAAAACCCGGGGCUCAACCUGGGAACUGCAUUGGUGACUGCAAGGCUGGAGUGCGGCAGAGGGAGGUGGAAUUCCGCGUGUAGCAGUGAAAUGCGUAGAGAUGCGGAGGAACACCGAUGGCGAAGGCAGCCUCCUGGGAUAACACUGACGCUCAGGCACGAAAGCGUGGGGAGCAAACAGGAUUAGAAACCCGGGUAGUCC
This 450-nucleotide ribosomal RNA is filed under the name uncultured bacterium. Its description in RNAcentral is "partial 16S ribosomal RNA". It matches the Rfam family "Bacterial small subunit ribosomal RNA", at positions 354 to 796 of the family's 1533-position model. The record is from RNAcentral.